AAUGAAUUCCUGACUCACCGAAAUCAAGCCUCCUCCCUGGCCUGCACGACCACCUCGGCCUCCACGACCACCUCGCCCACCACGACCACCACCACGAUCACCAUGGUGCCCGCCCUCUUGGUAUCUAUUGUCCUGCUGGUAGCCACCACCCUGGUAUCCACUUCCUGUAUAUGAAGAAGAUGUUUGGAAGCCACCAUAACCUCCGCCUUGAUAGCCACCACUGCUGUGGCCACCAUGAUAGCCACCUGGCUGGAAACCUGAAUCUCGAUAACCACCAUCUUGGUAGCCACCUCCUCCACCACUCCCUCCAUCUGUCCAGCCUCCUUGAUGCUUAUUUCCUCUUCCUCCCCCUCGGCCACCAUGGUCAUAGCCACCACGUCCACCUCUCCCGCCUCCUUGUUCAUGACCUCCUCGUCCUCCGUAUGAGGAAUGUUCAUAGCCACCUCUCCCUCCUCCUCGGCCUCCUGUUUGCUGCUGGGGGCCAUCUUGCCUCUUCUGCCACGGUGGCAUCUCUGGGGGUGGAGGUUCGAUUUCAUUGGGUCUACCACCUCUGUCAGGCACCCUGCCCAUCAACACCUACAGAAUAGGAAAGAUAUUUUAAACUUUUAUUUUAUGAACAGAAAUAAAUGCAUUUGGAAAAAAUUAAAGGUACUCUAAUCACCUUAUUGAUGGCACAGGCAGUCUUUUCUCUUAUAGAGCCGCUGCUUGUCCUUAAAAUCUUUGACAAGUCCUGCCUUGCAGCCAAAAGAUGGGCAACAGAAAUAGUACUUUUAGGGGAUAAGACUGAACGUUUCGGCUGGUAAACCUUGGCUAAUUUUUCUGUCUGGCUCUG
RNAcentral lists this long non-coding RNA (832 nucleotides) under Pan troglodytes (chimpanzee). Its description in RNAcentral is "long non-coding RNA NONPTRT010024". The record is from RNAcentral. Lineage: Eukaryota; Metazoa; Chordata; Mammalia; Primates; Hominidae.